GGUAGUGGGGGAUAACGUUCGGAAACGGACGCUAAUACCGCAUACGUCCUACGGGAGAAAGCAGGGGACCUUCGGGCCUUGCGCUAUCAGAUGAGCCUAGGUCGGAUUAGCUAGUUGGUGAGGUAAUGGCUCACCAAGGCGACGAUCCGUAACUGGUCUGAGAGGAUGAUCAGUCACACUGGAACUGAGACACGGUCCAGACUCCUACGGGAGGCAGCAGUGGGGAAUAUUGGACAAUGGGCGAAAGCCUGAUCCAGCCAUGCCGCGUGUGUGAAGAAGGUCUUCGGAUUGUAAAGCACUUUAAGUUGGGAGGAAGGGCAGUUGCCUAAUACGUAACUGUUUUGACGUUACCGACAGAAUAAGCACCGGCUAACUCUGUGCCAGCAGCCGCGGUAAUACAGAGGGUGCAAGCGUUAAUCGGAAUUACUGGGCGUAAAGCG
Molecule: ribosomal RNA, 440 nt
Filed under: uncultured bacterium
Lineage: Bacteria
Description: bacterial SSU rRNA
Rfam family: Bacterial small subunit ribosomal RNA
Source: RNAcentral